Molecule: long non-coding RNA, 3277 nt
Organism: Seriola aureovittata
Lineage: Eukaryota; Metazoa; Chordata; Actinopteri; Carangiformes; Carangidae
Exons: 2
Source: RefSeq, a predicted model, not a curated record
AAAUGUCAAAAAACGUCAUAGUAUAGCAUAGCAUAAUAAUGUAAAAAAAAAAUGUCAUAGUAUAGUAUGGCAUAAAAAUGUCAAAAAAACGUCAUAGUAUAGCAUGGCAUAAAAAUGUAAAAAAAAACGUCAUAGUAUAGCAUGGCAUAAAAAUGUAAAAAAAAAAAAAAAAACGUCAUAGUAUAGCAUGGCAUAAAAAUUUCAAAAAACGUCAUAGUAUAGCAUAGCAUAAUAAUGUAAAAAAAAAAUGUCAUAUUAUAGUAUGGCAUAAAAAUGUAAAAAAAAAAGUCAUAGAACAGUAUCGCAUAACAUUCUCAAAAAAUGUCAUAGUAUAAUAAGGCAUAAAAGUGUCAUAGUAUAGUAUGUUAUAAAAAUGCCAAAAAACGUCAUAGUAUAGUUAGGCAUAAAAAUGCAGAAAAACGUAAUACUAUAGCAUGGCAUAAAAAUGUAAAAAUAAAACCCCCCCAAAAAAGUCAUAGUAUAGUAUGGCUUAAAAAUGUAAAAAAAAAAAACGUCAUAGUCUAGCAUGGCAUAAAAAUUAAAAAAAAACCAUCAUAUUAUAGCAUGGCAUAAUGUAAAAAAAAAACGUCAUAGUAUAGUAUGGCAUAAAAAUGUCAAAAAAAAAAAGUAAUAGUAUAGUAUGGCAUAAAAAUGUCAAAAAAACGUCAGAGUAUAGCAUGGCAUAAAAAUGUAAAAAAAAAAAACGUCAUAGUAUAGCAUGGCAUAAAAAUGUAAAAAAAAAACGUCAUAGUAUAGCAUGGCAUAAUGUCAAAAAAAAAAAAACGUCAUAGUAUAGCAUGGCAUAAUGUCAAAAAAAAAAACAAUCAUAAAAAACGUCAUAGUAUAGCAUGGCAUAAUAAUAUAGAAAAAAUAAAUGUCAUAGUAUAGUAUGGCAUAAAAAUGUCCAAAAAAAAACGUCAUAGUAUAGCAUGGCAUAAUGUCAAAAGAAAAAACCUCAUUAUAUAGCAUGGCAUAAAAAUGUAAAAAAAAAACAAAAAAAAACGUCAUAGUAUAGCAUGGCAUAAUGUCAAAAAGAAAUGUCAUAGUACAGUAUGGCAUAAAAAUCUCAAAAAAAAAUGUCAUAGUACAGUAUGGCAUAAAAAUCUCUAAAAAACGUCAUAGUAUAGCAUGGCAUAAUAAUGUAGAAAAAAUAACCUCGUAAAAUAGCAUGGCAUAAAAAUGUAAAAAAAAAUAACCUCGUAAUAUAGCAUGGCAUAAAAAUGUCCAAAAAAAAAAACGUCAUAGUAUAGCAUGGCAUAAUGUCAAAAAAAAAUGUCAUAGUAUAGUAUGGCAUAAAAAAAAAAAAAAAACAUAGUAUAGUAAGGCAUAAAAUUUUUUAAAAAAACAUCAUAGUAUAGCAUGGCAUAAUAAUGUCAAAAAAAAAAAGAUGUCAUAGUAUAGCAUGGCAUAAAAAAUUAAAAAAAAAACGUCAUAGUAUAGUAUGGCAUAAAAAAAGUCAUAGUAUAGUAUGGCAUAAAAAUGUAAAAGUAAAACCCCCCAAAAAACGUCAUAGUAUAGCAUGGCAUAAUAAUGUAAAAAAGAAAAACGUCAUAGUAUAGCAUGGCAUAAUGUCAAAAAAAAUGUCAUAGUAUAGUAUGACAUUAAAAUGUCAAAAAACGUCACAGUAUAGCAUGGCAUAAAAAUGUCAUAGUAUAGUAUGGCAUAAUGUCAAAAAAAAAAGUCAUAGUAUAGCAUGUCAUAAAAACGUCAAAAAAAAAGUCAUAGUAUAGCAUGGCAUAAAAAUGUAAAAAAAAACGUCAUAGUAUAGCAUGGCAUAAAAAUGUAAAAAUAAAACCCCCCAAAAAACGUCAUGUUAUAGCAUGGCAUAAUGUCAAAAAAAAAUCUCAUAGUAUAGUAUGGCAUAAAAAUGUCAAAAAACGUCAUAGUAUAGCAUAGCAUAAUAAUGUAAAAAAAAAAUGUCAUAGUAUAGUAUGGCAUAAAAAUGUCAAAAAAACGUCAUAGUAUAGCAUGGCAUAAAAAUGUCAAAAAAAACGUCUUAGUAUAGCAUGGCAUAAAAAUGUAAAAAAAAACAUCAUAGUAUAGCAUGGCAUAAAAAUGUAAAAAAAAAAAAAAAACGUCAUAGUAUAGCAUGGCAUAAAAAUGUCAAAAAACGUCAUAGUAUAGCAUAGCAUAAUAAUGUAAAAAAAAAACGUCAUAGUAUAGCAUGGCAUAAAAAUGUAAAAAUAAAACCCCCCAAAAAACGUCAUAGUAUAGCAUGGCAUAAAAAUGUGAAAAAAAACGUCAUGGUAUAGCAUGGCAUAAAAAUGUCAAAAAACGUCAUAGUAUAGCAUAGCAUAAUAAUGUAAAAAAAAAUGUCAUAGUAUAGUAUGGCAUAAAAAUGUCAAAAAACGUCAUAGUAUAGCAUGGCAUAAAAAUGUAAAAAAAAACGUCAUAGUAUAGCAUGGCAUAAAAAUGUAAAAAAAAAAAAAAAAAACGUCAUAGUAUAGCAUGGCAUAAAAAUUUCAAAAAACGUCAUAGUAUAGCAUAGCAUAAUAAUGUAAAAAAAAAAUGUCAUAUUAUAGUAUGGCAUAAAAAUGUAAAAAAAAAAGUCAUAGAACAGUAUGGCAUAACAUUCUCAAAAAAUGUCAUAGUAUAAUAAGGCAUAAAAGUGUCAUAGUAUAGUAUGUUAUAAAAAUGCCAAAAAACGUCAUAGUAUAGUUAGGCAUAAAAAUGCAGAAAAACGUAAUACUAUAGGUAGGCAUAAAAAUGUAAAAAAAAAACGUCAUAGUAUAGCAUGGCAUAAAAAUGUAAAAAUAAAACCCCCCAAAAAAAGUCAUAGUAUAGUAUGGCUUAAAAAUGUAAAAAAAAAAAAACGUCAUAGUCUAGCAUGGCAUAAAAAUUAAAAAAAAAACAUCAUAUUAUAGCAUGGCAUAAUGUAAAAAAAAAACGUCAUAGUAUAGUAUGGCAUAAAAAUGUCAAAAAAAAAAAGUAAUAGUAUAGUAUGGCAUAAAAAUGUCAAAAAAACGUCAGAGUAUAGCAUGGCAUAAAAAUGUAAAAAAAAAACGUCAUAGUAUAGCAUGGCAUAAAAAUGUAAAAAAAAAACGUCAUAGUAUAGCAUGGCACAAUGUCAAAAAAAAAAAACGUCAUAGUAUAGCAUGGCAUAAUGUCAAAAAAAAAAACAAUCAUAAAAAACGUCAUAGUAUAGCAUGGCAUAAUAAUAUAGAAAAAAUAAAUGUCAUAGUAUAGUAUGGCAUAAAAAUGUCCAAAAAAAAACGUCAUAGUAUAGCAUGGCAUAAUGUCAAAAGAAAAAACCUCAUUAUAUAGCAUGGCAUAAAAA